GACGAACGCUGGCGGCGUGCCUAAUACAUGCAAGUAGAACGCUGAAGAGAGGAGCUUACUCUUCUUGGAUGAGUUGCGAACGGGUGAGUAACGCGUAGGUAACCUGCCUUGUAGCGGGGGAUAACUAUUGGAAACGAUAGCUAAUACCGCAUAACAAUGGAUGACACAUGUCAUUUAUUUGAAAGGGGCAAUUGCUCCACUACAAGAUGGACCUGCGUUGUAUUAGCUAGUAGGUGAGGUAAUGGCUCAUCUAGGCGACGAUACAUAGCCGACCUGAGAGGGUGAUCGGCCACACUGGGACUGAGACACGGCCCAGACUCCUACGGGAGGCAGCAGUAGGGAAUCUUCGGCAAUGGGGGCAACCCUGACCGAGCAACGCCGCGUGAGUGAAGAAGGUUUUCGGAUCGUAAAGCUCUGUUGUAGGUCAAGAACGGGUGUGAGAGUGGAAAGUUCACACUGUGACGGUAGCUUACCAGAAAGGGACGGCUAACUACGUG
This 497-nucleotide ribosomal RNA is filed under the name uncultured bacterium. RNAcentral describes it as "partial 16S ribosomal RNA". It matches the Rfam family "Bacterial small subunit ribosomal RNA", at positions 28 to 507 of the family's 1533-position model. The record is from RNAcentral.